GCGACUAUAGCUCAGCUGGUAGAGCGCGACGUUGCCAACGUCGAGGUCGCGGGUUCGACCCCCGCUAGUCGCUCCA
Molecule: transfer RNA, 76 nt
Filed under: Crocinitomicaceae bacterium
Lineage: Bacteria; Pseudomonadati; Bacteroidota; Flavobacteriia; Flavobacteriales; Crocinitomicaceae
Description: tRNA-Gly
Rfam family: tRNA
About the family: Transfer RNA (tRNA) molecules are approximately 80 nucleotides in length.
Source: RNAcentral